RNAcentral lists this transfer RNA (65 nucleotides) under Plesionika edwardsii. Its description in RNAcentral is "tRNA-Tyr". It matches the Rfam family "tRNA". From Rfam's summary of the family: Transfer RNA (tRNA) molecules are approximately 80 nucleotides in length. Lineage: Eukaryota; Metazoa; Arthropoda; Malacostraca; Decapoda; Pandalidae. The record is from RNAcentral.
GGUAAGGUGGCUGAGGUAGAAGCAAUAGAUUGUAAAUCUAUGGACGAAAGUUAUUUCCCUUACCA